AACAGGGAUUGCCCUAGUAACGGCGAGUGAAGCGGCAACAGCUCAAAUUUGAAAUCUGGCGCAAGCCCGAGUUGUAAUUUGUAGAGGAUGUUUCUGGCGACGUGCCUUCCGAGUUCCCUGGAACGGGACGCCAUAGAGGGUGAGAGCCCCGUACGGUUGGAUGCCUAGCCUCUGUGAAACUCCUUCGACGAGUCGAGUAGUUUGGGAAUGCUGCUCUAAAUGGGAGGUAUACGUCUUCUAAAGCUAAAUACCGGCCAGAGACCGAUAGCGCACAAGUAGAGUGAUCGAAAGAUGAAAAGCACUUUGAAAAGAGGGUUAAAAAGUACGUGAAAUUGUUGAAAGGGAAGCGUUCAUGACCAGACUUGGGCAGGUUGAUCAUCCGUGGUUCUCCGCGGUGCACUCUGCCUGCCCAGGCCAGCAUCAGUUCGCCCCGGGGGAUAAAGGCUUUGGGAAUGUGGCUCCCUCGGGAGUGUUAUAGCCCACUGUGUAAUACCCUGGGGUGGACUGAGGUUCGCGCUCUGCAAGGAUGCUGGCGUAAUGGUCAUCAACGACCCGUCUUGAAACACGGACCAAGGAGUCGUCUUCGUAUGCGAGUGUUCGGGUGUCAAACCCCUACGCGUAAUGAAAGUGAACGUAGGAGAGAGCUUCGGCGCAUCUCCGACCGAUCCUGAUGUUCUCGGAUGGAUUUGAGUAAGAGCAUACGGGGCCGGACCCGAAAGAAGGUGAACUAUGCCUGUAUAGGGUGAAGCCAGAGGAAACUCUGGUGGAGGCUCGCAGC
Molecule: ribosomal RNA, 778 nt
Filed under: Clonostachys rosea
Lineage: Eukaryota; Fungi; Ascomycota; Sordariomycetes; Hypocreales; Bionectriaceae
Description: partial large subunit ribosomal RNA
Rfam family: Eukaryotic large subunit ribosomal RNA
Source: RNAcentral